GUUGCAACAUGUGACUCCAGCGCGACGGCGACCGAACGCCAACCGAGUGAGACACUUAUGCCUAACGAAUUACCGGAAAGGACAAGCCAAGAUGAAUAUAACUCAUCCCAUAGGUUCACAGGAGGAGAGGGCAAACCCUGGAUGACAAAGAGUUGCAUCAGCAAUUACUGAGCGACAUGACUCCAAGAGAGGUCUUGGUGCACUGCAGACUAACACGUAUAUUCUCCAUGAUCAGAUGAGGAUCAACAAUGCUGUCAGAACACAUUAAUGAGCAAGGAUAUUACUGAAGAAAUUUUUUGAAGAAUGAAUGGCUCAAGGUUGAAAACACUGUCACAGCCGCAUCACUUCAUCACUCCAGUCUUCCUUUCCUCUCCUCCGUUCUUUCCACGCUCCCACAGUUUUCACAGGCUCCCUGGAUGACUCACAUGCGGCCCUCUGCACCACCUCUGCCCUCCCCCGUAACUCCUAAACAGAGAUACCCAAGACCUCAAACUAUAGGUCUCUGUAUUUUCCUGAAAUGUGUGCAUUUCCCACAGCGUGUCUCAAUCAAAUGAGGAACACCUGUUCUGCAGCAAAUAUCAUUACUCUCCAUUUACUGAGCCAUAACUCACCACUCCUUCUAUUUCCCAAAGCUUUCCUCUCUUCCUUUUCCCCUUUCUCCCACCCCUCAAUUUCCUCAAUUUUUGUGUUUCAUUCAGUCAGUAUGUAUAAUGUGGAGAAACUCAGUCUGUUCCUAAGCUAAAAUAAAACCAUUCAUAUAAUUAUCAUUGUAAAACUGUUUUUAUUUAAGACACCGAUAUGAUUUGGCUAUUAUUAAAGCACUAUUUUAUUUUAAUGCUUACAUGGAAAAUGACCAAGGAGACUAUUUUAAACAAAGCUAGUUUUCAAAACCUUAAAGCCUUAAAAAAUAGUCGCAACACUGUCAGUAUGAGCAAUGUGACAGAUUCGGGCAGCUGGA
Molecule: long non-coding RNA, 958 nt
Organism: Megalobrama amblycephala (Wuchang bream)
Lineage: Eukaryota; Metazoa; Chordata; Actinopteri; Cypriniformes; Xenocyprididae
Exons: 5
Source: RefSeq, a predicted model, not a curated record